GUCGCACAUCAGCAUCAUCAGAGGAUGAUCAAUAAAAUCGAUUUCUUCAUGAAGACCGUACAGGACCGGCUGUAGAUAGUCUAUAGAGCUGAACAAGUCAAUAUAUAACAAAAACUUUGUCGUCUAGCUCAGGAUUUCUGUGCUUAUAGGCUACAGGAUUAGCACACACACACACACACACACACACAAACACACACACACACACACACACACACACACACACACACACACACAUAGAAAGAGAGAGAGGGAGAGACGUGUGGAGAUACCGACUGGCUGCAACAUCACAUCCACUGGUUUGAUGAGGAUGCUGAAGAUGCUGCGUUACAACUCAGAGCCGAUUUUAAGCGAAUGGAGCCCAGAGAUGUGUAACCACGACUCGUCGUCUUUAGUGUUUCCUCUCACUCGGGCAGAAGCAGCAAUAUGCACGCAGAGGGGUUGGUUUCUGUCUUUGGUUAUCUAGCUGUAUGAGUUUAAAAACAUGUCAUAAAGCUAGAUAACCGAAAGUAGAAAUUAAUCUCAAACUCGCAUUCAAUCCAAUGCCAAAUUAUGCCAAACCGCGCGAUUUAAAGGACCAGUCUAACAGAGCCCUGUUCCAAUCUGCAACAUGCCAUAAUGAAGUAAUGUGUCAUGAACUUAGGCAGCGUGCUGUACAGAAGAAGUGACUGAUACAUAGAUGCUGGGAAGAGAACGCCUUUGUCCCUGACUGCCAUGUCUCUCCUCAUGCCAAGAGAUCCCUGGUGCCAUCUGGGGGAUAUGGGGCACUUUGCCUGUGCCACCGGCGAUGAAGCCCCUUCGUCUCCCUUGAGCCUUGGCACGAUGAAUGAGGAAGGCAGGGAGGCCAUCUUGCGGGAGAUCUCACUGAAACAGCUAAGAUGGCUGGACUGGCACGAGAGUGGAGGAGGGGAGGUAAAGAAAACAAAUGAGCUGGCACCGAUUGCAGUAGAGGCUGCCAUCUUCUUUUGUUAGGAUCGCCAUGUGAACAAACAUCAAACUCGGAGAUGGCCGUGUAUUAAACUGCACAAUCUUGGUGUGGUAACUGCAGCAGAGAACACUGGAAAACAUGAUGCAAAAUGGCCUUGAAAGUUUUUCUUGCCAAGAAAAAAAAAUUGUAUUAAGAAAAUGUGAAUUUUUAACAUUGACAGUCAACUGCAUAUAUUAACACUCACAGAGCCAUAAUCUGUAUUUGUGUAGGAACUCUUGGCUUCCUGUUUCAUUUAAAGAUUAUAUCCUAUGCUGUAAUUUCUUUGUUUUAGAAAACAAAAGCAUUAUAC
Molecule: long non-coding RNA, 1274 nt
Organism: Ictalurus punctatus (channel catfish)
Lineage: Eukaryota; Metazoa; Chordata; Actinopteri; Siluriformes; Ictaluridae
Exons: 5
Source: RefSeq, a predicted model, not a curated record